Molecule: non-coding RNA, 24 nt
Filed under: Arabidopsis thaliana (thale cress)
Lineage: Eukaryota; Viridiplantae; Streptophyta; Magnoliopsida; Brassicales; Brassicaceae
Source: RNAcentral
CCCUCGUUGCUAGUUGUCUGUUGC